GACGAACGCUGGCGGCGUGCCUAAUACAUGCAAGUCGAACGAACUCUGGUAUUGAUUGGUGCUUGCAUCAUGAUUUACAUUUGAGUGAGUGGCGAACUGGUGAGUAACACGUGGGAAACCUGCCCAGAAGCGGGGGAUAACACCUGGAAACAGAUGCUAAUACCGCAUAACAACUUGGACCGCAUGGUCCGAGUUUGAAAGAUGGCUUCGGCUAUCACUUUUGGAUGGUCCCGCGGCGUAUUAGCUAGAUGGUGAGGUAACGGCUCACCAUGGCAAUGAUACGUAGCCGACCUGAGAGGGUAAUCGGCCACAUUGGGACUGAGACACGGCCCAAACUCCUACGGGAGGCAGCAGUAGGGAAUCUUCCACAAUGGACGAAAGUCUGAUGGAGCAACGCCGCGUGAGUGAAGAAGGGUUUCGGCUCGUAAAACUCUGUUGUUAAAGAAGAACAUAUCUGAGAGUAACUGUUCAGGUAUUGACGGUAUUUAACCAGAAAGCCACGGCUAACUACGUGCCAGCAGCCGCGGUAAUACGUAGGUGGCAAGCGUUGUCCGGAUUUAUUGGGCGUAAAGCGAGCGCAGGCGGUUUUUUAAGUCUGAUGUGAAAGCCUUCGGCUCAACCGAAGAAGUGCAUCGGAAACUGGGAAACUUGAGUGCAGAAGAGGACAGUGGAACUCCAUGUGUAGCGGUGAAAUGCGUAGAUAUAUGGAAGAACACCAGUGGCGAAGGCGGCUGUCUGGUCUGUAACUGACGCUGAGGCUCGAAAGUAUGGGUAGCAAACAGGAUUAGAUACCCUGGUAGUCCAUACCGUAAACGAUGAAUGCUAAGUGUUGGAGGGUUUCCGCCCUUCAGUGCUGCAGCUAACGCAUUAAGCAUUCCGCCUGGGGAGUACGGCCGCAAGGCUGAAACUCAAAGGAAUUGACGGGGGCCCGCACAAGCGGUGGAGCAUGUGGUUUAAUUCGAAGCUACGCGAAGAACCUUACCAGGUCUUGACAUACUAUGAAAAUCUAAGAGAUUAGACGUUCCCUUCGGGGACAUGGAUACAGGUGGUGCAUGGUUGUCGUCAGCUCGUGUCGUGAGAUGUUGGGUUAAGUCCCGCAACGAGCGCAACCCUUAUUAUCAGUUGCCAGCAUUAAGUUGGGCACUCUGGUGAGACUGCCGGUGACAAACCGGAGGAAGGUGGGGAUGACGUCAAAUCAUCAUGCCCCUUGUGACCUGGGCUACACACGUGCUACAAUGGAUGGUACAACGAGUUGCGAACUCGCGAGAGUAAGCUAAUCUCUUAAAGCCAUUCUCAGUUCGGAUUGUAGGCUGCAACUCGCCUACAUGAAGUCGGAAUCGCUAGUAAUCGCGGAUCAGCAUGCCGCGGUGAAUACGUUCCCGGGCCUUGUACACACCGCCCGUCACACCAUGAGAGUUUGUAACACCCAAAGUCGGUGGGGUAACCUUUUAGGAACCAGCCGCCUAAGGUGGGACAGAUGAUUAGGGUGAAG
Molecule: ribosomal RNA, 1492 nt
Filed under: Lactiplantibacillus plantarum
Lineage: Bacteria; Bacillati; Bacillota; Bacilli; Lactobacillales; Lactobacillaceae
Description: bacterial SSU rRNA
Rfam family: Bacterial small subunit ribosomal RNA
Source: RNAcentral